CCGGCGACCGGCGCACGGGUGAGUAACACGUAUGCAACCUGCCCGUGGCAGGGGGAUAAGCGGGGGAAACCCCGUCUAGUACCGCGUAACGCGGCCUAGGGACAUCCCAAGGCCGCCAAAGGGAGCAAUCCCGGCCACGGAUGGGCAUGCGGCGCAUUAGCUAGUCGGCGGGGUAACGGCCCACCGAGGCGACGAUGCGUAGGGGUUCUGAGAGGAAGGCCCCCCACACUGGUACUGAGACACGGACCAGACUCCUACGGAAGGCAGCAG
This 270-nucleotide ribosomal RNA is filed under the name uncultured bacterium. Its description in RNAcentral is "partial 16S ribosomal RNA". It matches the Rfam family "Bacterial small subunit ribosomal RNA", at positions 88 to 354 of the family's 1533-position model. The record is from RNAcentral.